ACUUUCUUAGUAUAAUUAGUACUGCUGACUUCCAAUUAGCAAGUUCCGUAUAACAAUGGAAGAAAGUA
Molecule: transfer RNA, 68 nt
Filed under: Tympanoctomys barrerae (plains viscacha rat)
Lineage: Eukaryota; Metazoa; Chordata; Mammalia; Rodentia; Octodontidae
Description: tRNA-Gly
Source: RNAcentral